GACCACCCCCCAAGGCUAAAUACUAACCAGUGACCGAUAGCGUAUAGUACUGUGAAGGAAAGGUGAAAAGAACCCUGGGAAGGGAGUGAAAGAGAACCUGAAACCAUGUGUUUACAAACUGUGGAAGAACUAUUAAAAGUUCAACCGCGUACUUUUUGUAGAACGGUCCGGCGAGUCACGCCGGCUGGCAAGGUUAAGGACUAAAGGUCCGGAGCCGAAGGGAAACCAAGUCUUAAUAGGGCGAAGAGUCAGUCAGCGUGGACCCGAAACCGGGUGAUCUACCCAUGUCCAGGAUGAAGCUGCCGUAAGAGGUAGUGGAGGUCCGAACACACAUCCGUUGAAAAGGGUGGUGAUGAGGUGUGGGUAGGGGAGAAAUUCCAAUCGAACCCGGAGAUAGCUGGUUCUCCUCGAAAUAGCUUUAGGGCUAGCCUCAGGUUAGUCUGCCGCAGGUAGAGCACUGAAUUUCCUAGGGGGCGUCAAAGCCUACCGAAGAAUAUCAAACUCCGAAUGGCGGACAGAUGAUGCUGGGGAGUCAGACUGCACGAGAUAAGUUGGGUGGUCAAAAGGGAAAGAGCCCAGACCUACAGCUAAGGUCCCAAAGUACGUGUUAAGUGGAAAAGGAUGUGGGAUUUCAAAGACAGCUAGGAUGUUGGCUUAGAAGCAGCCAUACAUUAAAAGAGUGCGUAAUAGCUCACUAGCCGAGAGGUCCUGCGCCGAAAAUGUCCGGGGCUAAAACACGACACCGAAGCUUAGGAAUCAGAAAUGAUUGGUAGAGGAGCAUUCUUAAAUCAUCGAAGCUGUACCGAUAAGGAGCAGUGGAGGUUUAAGAAGAGAGAAUGCCGGAAUGAGUAGCGAGAAUGAAGUGAGAAUCUUCAUGGCCGAAUAUCCAAGGUUUCCAGGGUAAAGCUGAUCUGCCCUGGGUUAGUCGGGGCCUAAGGCGAGGCUGAGAAGCGUAGCUGAUGGACAACAGGUUGAAAUUCCUGUACUGCCUUAUAACAGAACUGUGGGGACACAUGUUCAGGUCGCGAGCCGGGAAAGGAAAGCCCGGCGCAAGCAGAGGUUAUCGGUGGGAGGCAAACCCCCCACAAAAGAGAAGACUGCGAUGCGGAGCGAAGAAAAGUAGCGAAGAGCGAUGAGAAUGUGUCGAGAAAAGCCGCUAUUGUUUAUAAGGUACCCGUACCGUAAACCGACACAGGUGGAUGAGGAGAGAAUCCUAAGGCCGGCGGGAGAAGCAUUGUUAAGGAACUCGGCAAAAUGACCCCGUAACUUCGGGAGAAGGGGUGCCCACGAAAGUGGGCCGCAGAGAAUAGGCUCAAGCAACUGUUUAGCAAAAACACAGGUCUAUGCAAAACCGUAAGGUGAGGUAUAUGGGCUGACGCCUGCCCGGUGCUGGAAGGUUAAGAGGAGAGGUUAACGAAAGUGAAGCUUUGAAUUUAAGCCCCAGUAAACGGCGGCCGUAACUAUAACGGUCCUAAGGUAGCGAAAUUCCUUGUCGGGUAAGUUCCGACCCGCACGAAAGGUGU
Molecule: ribosomal RNA, 1523 nt
Filed under: human gut metagenome
Description: bacterial LSU rRNA
Rfam family: Bacterial large subunit ribosomal RNA
Source: RNAcentral